Molecule: ribosomal RNA, 162 nt
Filed under: Carpinus rankanensis
Lineage: Eukaryota; Viridiplantae; Streptophyta; Magnoliopsida; Fagales; Betulaceae
Description: 5.8S ribosomal RNA
Rfam family: 5.8S ribosomal RNA
About the family: 5.8S ribosomal RNA (5.8S rRNA) is a component of the large subunit of the eukaryotic ribosome. It is transcribed by RNA polymerase I as part of the 45S precursor that also contains 18S and 28S rRNA.
Source: RNAcentral
AUAACGACUCUCGGCAACGGAUAUCUCGGCUCUCGCAUCGAUGAAGAACGUAGCGAAAUGCGAUACUUGGUGUGAAUUGCAGAAUCCCGCGAAUCAUCGAGUCUUUGAACGCAAGUUGCGCCCGAAGCCAUCUGGUCGAGGGCACGUCUGCCUGGGUGUCAC